This 677-nucleotide ribosomal RNA is filed under the name uncultured Lachnospiraceae bacterium. RNAcentral describes it as "bacterial SSU rRNA". It matches the Rfam family "Bacterial small subunit ribosomal RNA", at positions 65 to 740 of the family's 1533-position model. The record is from RNAcentral. Lineage: Bacteria; Bacillati; Bacillota; Clostridia; Lachnospirales; Lachnospiraceae.
AACGAAACACCUUAUUUGAUUUUCUUCGGAACUGAAGAUUUGGUGAUUGAGUGGCGGACGGGUGAGUAACGCGUGGGUAACCUGCCCUGUACAGGGGGAUAACAGUCAGAAAUGACUGCUAAUACCGCAUAAGACCACAGCACCGCAUGGUGCAGGGGUAAAAACUCCGGUGGUACAGGAUGGACCCGCGUCUGAUUAGCUGGUUGGUGAGGUAACGGCUCACCAAGGCGACGAUCAGUAGCCGGCUUGAGAGAGUGAACGGCCACAUUGGGACUGAGACACGGCCCAAACUCCUACGGGAGGCAGCAGUGGGGAAUAUUGCACAAUGGGGGAAACCCUGAUGCAGCGACGCCGCGUGAGUGAAGAAGUAUCUCGGUAUGUAAAGCUCUAUCAGCAGGGAAGAAAAUGACGGUACCUGACUAAGAAGCCCCGGCUAACUACGUGCCAGCAGCCGCGGUAAUACGUAGGGGGCAAGCGUUAUCCGGAAUUACUGGGUGUAAAGGGUGCGUAGGUGGUAUGGCAAGUCAGAAGUGAAAACCCAGGGCUUAACUCUGGGACUGCUUUUGAAACUGUCAGACUGGAGUGCAGGAGAGGUAAGCGGAAUUCCUAGUGUAGCGGUGAAAUGCGUAGAUAUUAGGAGGAACAUCAGUGGCGAAGGCGGCUUACUGGACUGAAAC